This is a non-coding RNA of Oryza sativa Japonica Group (Japanese rice), 1477 nucleotides long. The record is from RefSeq and is a predicted model, not a curated record. NCBI's taxonomy places the organism in Eukaryota, Viridiplantae, Streptophyta, Magnoliopsida, Poales, Poaceae.
UAGCCAUAUUUCACACUCGUUGCACUCUGAACAAUCAAUAGAGAAUCACUUCUAGCAAUCUAUUAUGAUUCAUUUCCAGAUGCAUUAAUCUAUUCUCUUUGUUAGUACUUUUCUUGGUAUUUUAGGUUUUCUUGGGGCUUAGUUAUAGAAUAGGGUUUUGGAGUGGGUUUGUGGAGGGGUGAUUAGAAAGUUGAAACUCUUUUGCCGCGAAUAAAUCUGCAGUAACAUGCCUAUCAUUUCACUUCAGAGCCAAUGCAUUUGGGUAAUGUCUCAAAAUUUGUUUUGUAUUUGGUUGUUUCGGCUUUUUUGGUUGAAGGAAUCUGCAAUAUAUCAUGCUUCCCCAAUGAUGUUGUGCCUGAGGAUCAUUUAAACGACUCUGAUCAAUCCUCCACCAUAGCUGGUUGUUCUACUUGCUGUGACCAUGCCAUGACAUCCGAAAACACAGAGGACCAGGUUUGACACCUUUGGAUUGCAUACCAGAAUUUUCCAUGUUCUUCAGCUCUCAAUAACUCAUCUUCAGAGGAGAAAGGGAAGUGAGGAAAAUUUGUAAGUGAAGAAUUUGACAGAUUGCGAUGGGCACCAGUUAUGCUGGUAAUUUUCUUGAACCUGACACUAAUUUCAGGUUUCUCAGGGUCCAGGAGUUGAAGCCAUGCAAACAUGCAUCAUGCUAAUGUCGUCCUGAGCUUCCAGAUUAGGCCCUGCUGUAUUGAUCAAUAUAUUCAGCAUGAUGACAGCAUUAUUUCUAUACAUGGGGAUAUUGUGUAUCCGGAUAAGAAUAGCAUUAUUUGUAGGCUGGAGGCUAUAGAAAAAUAUUUCAGCCUUGAAAUAGUCAAGGACAUUGUGGAAGCCAUGGAAAGUGAAGCAUCUAAGUUAGAUGAGGAUUGUUGUACCUUGGCCAUGAAAUGAUUGAGAGAGCCCUAUCCAGUUCUGUUGAGAGCCUCACAGUGUUUGAUGAAUUGCAAGCUACAAAUGCUUUGCUGUAGAUAUGAAUUGCAAGCUUACAGAAAAGGUUGUGCACUGUGGGCUAAAAAGUCCCAUUAACCAGGAAGCUUGAAGGAUACUAAUAUUAGAAAUUCCACAAAUGACACAAUAGAUAUGCUACAACUUUGGCUCUACUUACACUACCUGUAUAUGACUACAAAACUGCAGCUGUGAGAAGAUAGAAUGGCAUCACUUCAAGGGAUGUGAUGCGAUGCUGAAUCUAAUAUUGGAAAGUCGAGCCCUUUGUUCUUCAAUUGCCCUAUUUGCAAAGAUUAUGACCUUUCAAUUUGUCAUCAAUUAUUUAUGACACCAAUGCAUUCUCUUGGUGUAUGCACCAAAGCAAUUUGUACGCGGAAUUACUUAUAUUUUUUAUAUAAUGAAAGCAUUGUGUUCAUGUUUGAAUUAAAAGUCUAACAAACUGAGGUUUUAGUAGGGGAUGCUUUGCAUUGAUAAUAAAGUGCCCAUUACUUUGUAGUUACAUGGGAUAUUUGUUGCA